AUACGUAGGGUGCGAGCGUUGUCCGGAAUUACUGGGCGUAAAGAGCUCGUAGGUGGUUUGUCGCGUCGUCUGUGAAAUUCCGGGGCUUAACUCCGGGCGUGCAGGCGAUACGGGCAUAACUUGAGUACUGUAGGGGAGACUGGAAUUCCUGGUGUAGCGGUGAAAUGCGCAGAUAUCAGGAGGAACACCGGUGGCGAAGGCGGGUCUCUGGGCAGUAACUGACGCUGAGGAGCGAAAGCAGGGGUAGCGAACAGGAUUAGAUACCCUGGUAGUCCAUGUCGUAAACGGUGGGCGCUAGGUGUAGGGGUCUUCCACGACUUCUGUGCCGUAGCUAACGCAUUAAGCGCCCCGCCUGGGGAGUACGGCCGCAAGGCUAAAACUCAAUGAAUUGACGGGG
Molecule: ribosomal RNA, 397 nt
Filed under: uncultured bacterium
Lineage: Bacteria
Description: partial 16S ribosomal RNA
Rfam family: Bacterial small subunit ribosomal RNA
Source: RNAcentral